GACGAACGCUGGCGGCGUGCUUAAUACAUGCAAGUCGAACGGAAAGGCCCUGCUUUUGUGGGGUGCUCGAGUGGCGAACGGGUGAGUAACACGUGAGUAACCUGCCCUUGACUUUGGGAUAACUUCAGGAAACUGGGGCUAAUACCGGAUAGGAGCUCCUGCUGCAUGGUGGGGGUUGGAAAGUUUCGGCGGUUGGGGAUGGACUCGCGGCUUAUCAGCUUGUUGGUGGGGUAGUGGCUUACCAAGGCUUUGACGGGUAGCCGGCCUGAGAGGGUGACCGGCCACAUUGGGACUGAGAUACGGCCCAGACUCCUACGGGAGGCAGCAGUGGGGAAUAUUGCACAAUGGGCGGAAGCCUGAUGCAGCAACGCCGCGUGCGGGAUGACGGCCUUCGGGUUGUAAACCGCUUUCGCCUGUGGCGAAGCGUGAGUGACGGUAAUGGGUAAAGAAGCACCGGCUAACUACGUG
RNAcentral lists this ribosomal RNA (468 nucleotides) under uncultured bacterium. RNAcentral's name for it is "partial 16S ribosomal RNA". It matches the Rfam family "Bacterial small subunit ribosomal RNA", at positions 28 to 507 of the family's 1533-position model. The record is from RNAcentral.